AGUGAACGCUGGCGGUAGGCCUAACACAUGCAAGUCGAACGGCAGCACAGUAAGAGCUUGCUCUUACGGGUGGCGAGUGGAGGACGGGUGAGGAAUACAUCGGAAUCUACUUUUUCGUGGGGGAUAACGUAGGGAAACUUACGCUAAUACCGCAUACGACCUACGGGUGAAAGCAGGGGAUCUUCGGACCUUGCGCGAUUGAAUGAGCCGAUGUCGGAUUAGCCAGUUGGCGGGGUAAAGGCCCACCAAGGCGACGAUCCGUAGCUGGUCUGAGAGGAUGAUCAGCCACACUGGAACUGAGACACGGUCCAGACUCCUACGGGAGGCAGCAGUGGGGAAUAUUGGACAAUGGGCGCAAGCCUGAUCCAGCCAUGCCGCGUGGGUGAAGAAGGCCUUCGGGUUGUAAAGCCCUUUUGUUGGGAAAGAAAAGCAGCAGGUUAAUACCCCGCUGUUCUGACGGUACCCAAAGAAUAAGCACCGGCUAACUUCGUG
RNAcentral lists this ribosomal RNA (492 nucleotides) under uncultured bacterium. RNAcentral's name for it is "partial 16S ribosomal RNA". It matches the Rfam family "Bacterial small subunit ribosomal RNA", at positions 29 to 507 of the family's 1533-position model. The record is from RNAcentral.